CCAGCAUACGUAUAUAUACAUUCCAACAGUUCAAGUGUCAAUCUAGGGCAAAACAUCAGAGCGACUACUAAGAAUUUACAAAGGAGUGAAUCCUUUUACAAAAUAAAAUCUUACAUCAAAGAAAGGCGCAGAAGAUGGGAAGUAGCCCGGUGGUGGAUUCUUGUGCACGUCUACUGCCUGGGGGAGCAAAACAACAAAAAGGGUGAGUGGACCCAAAAAUAAAGUUUAGAAAAUAACAUAUGAACAUACUAACCCCACUGUAAAAACAGUUAUACAAACUAGCUUAUUUUAUUUAUUUCUGAAAUCGACGCAUGUAUAUAACUAUAUAUUUGAAAACAGUUGAAAACUAUCAUUUAGGUGUACCCCUAUUUCCGUCAAAUCCUUAUAUCCGUCAAUUCCUUGCAUCACCAUGGGUGACACAUACUCGCAGGUCUCAGUGACACGAAGUCAGUCCGAGCCGCAACUAGCAGGAUGCAGGGGACCGUAGUUCACCUGAUCCGCAUUACUCGCUCCACACAAGUUUGAGUACCAAGGAACUCGUGGGGCAACUGUCAAGCAUACUGACUAAAUCGAAGGCAACAAAUAUAAUCCGAAGGCAACAUUUAAU
RNAcentral lists this long non-coding RNA (607 nucleotides) under Prunus persica (peach). Its description in RNAcentral is "long non-coding RNA (PPER_LNC004273)". The record is from RNAcentral. Lineage: Eukaryota; Viridiplantae; Streptophyta; Magnoliopsida; Rosales; Rosaceae.